This 236-nucleotide unclassified non-coding RNA is filed under the name plant metagenome. Its description in RNAcentral is "partial contains small subunit ribosomal RNA, internal transcribed spacer 1, and 5.8S ribosomal RNA". The record is from RNAcentral.
UUUCCGUGGGUGAACCUGCGGAGGGAUCAUUACCGAGCGACGGCCCUAUGGGUCCAACCUCCCACCCGUGUCUCUUGUACCUCGUGGCUUCGGCGGGCCCGCCUCACGCCCGCCGGGGGGCAUUUCGCCCCCGGGCCCGCGCCGGCCGAAGACACCCACGAACUCUGUCUGGAGAAUGCGGUCUGAGUGAAAUGAUAAACUAUUUAAAACUUUCAACAACGGAUCUCUUGGUUCCG